Molecule: long non-coding RNA, 1037 nt
Organism: Saimiri boliviensis boliviensis (Bolivian squirrel monkey)
Lineage: Eukaryota; Metazoa; Chordata; Mammalia; Primates; Cebidae
Source: RefSeq, a predicted model, not a curated record
GUUCGACUCCUGUGCAACGUCUUGAUGUGGAGCCACCUCCUCCAAGCACCUAAAGCCGACCCAGAAAUGCCUCCCGAUCCCUCCAUAACGCGGCUCUCGCGAUCCGAAGCUGGGGAGCUGCCUCUGUCCAAUCACGCUUUGCACCCCGGACGCUUCCGCUUAUGACGUCAUUGAUCAGCCUGUGGCAUCUGCAUCUAAGAGGAUGCCAGACUUCAAACCCAUGUGAGGGCAAGUGGGGCCCCAUUUCUUUUUGCCUCUCUUAGCUGGUACCUGGAAUGAGUUCAACAUUCAAACAUUCACCUCCUAAAUGUGCUGUACAAGCUACAAACCCACAAGCAAAUGAAAUGGAGCGGGUUAUGUUUCAAUCUAUGGUAUUGAAGUUAAACAGCAGACAGAACUCCAGUCCCUGGCCUCAAGGGCAGUGGGGGUGCAGCCCAACUCUGUGGCCUCGGUCUUCCUAGUGGCUCUGUGUACAGUGAGACGGCACCUACCACCCAACUGCCCUAUGCUUGGAAGAGGGUGCCAGGACGCAUGUGUGCAAGCGUACUUGGACAUCGGGGAGAAUAAAUGCCAAUCUUUGUACCAGUCAGAGUCUGGCAUGAAGAAGAUGGCACAUUCCCACUGGGUAAUCCGAGGAGCAUUUAAAAGAGUCCCGUUUAGUACGGACAGGUGUAAGGAAACGAGGACUCCAGGAUGGGCAUUAGUGACGAGCUGUCCCCAUCACCAGGCCCGAAGGGUCACAAAAGGCAGCAGCUCCUGGAACCCAGAGAUCGGGUAUUGAGAGUCGCCCCAGGAGCUAAGAUGUCGAGUCCAGAGAUGCAGAAAGCCCACGGCUACCUUGAUAUCACAGGGAGGUACCCGAGGGAAUAAAUGCCCACCUUCACCUUCCUCCUUCCCUCCACUAUCCUGCUGCUGAGGCUCGGCCUGAAGCCAGUGGGAGUUUGGUGGGGCCUCUCCGACUCGGGCAGAGGAGCUGAGGAAGAGCGGAGAGUCGGGCUUCUGGAACAAAAGGAUGUCAUCGGGCAUUCAGAGUUUGC